CAAAAGCUAGUUUGAAUCUGGUAAGAUUUUCAUCAUUAUUUAGAAAAGUUCAGGACUGUUCUUGAAACCGAAAGAUAUGCUUCGAAAUUUAUAAUGUCAAAAACCGGCAAAAAGUAACUUUUCAAAGGGAUUUUUUUUUUGCUUUAUCUGGACGGUAAGAAUUUUAAAGCAUUCGGAAUGCUUUUAAAUUCAUACCGUUUAGAUAAAACAAAAAAAAACGGAAUGAUUCCGUUCGGUUUAAAUAACAGUCCUGAAUUCUUCCAAAUGUUGGAAACAAUACAUCCAUUAUCAUUCGGUUGCUAUCAGGACUGUUUUUUGAAACCAAAUGGAAUGCUUAAAAACACUAAACACAUUUCGUUCGGUUUAAAAAACAGUCCACAGCUCUUCCAAACGAUUAUGAAAAUUAUACUGAUAUACUUACCGCGUAAAAAACCAUGUAAAAAAACCGUGUUAAUUCCCGAAAACCGUGUAAAAGAACCGUGCUAAUUCCAAAAAACCGUGUUGAAAAACCGUGCUAAUUCCCGAAAACCGUGUAAAAAAAGACCAUUCAAAUUCUGUAGCUCUGAAAUUUGAAACAAAAAGACAUGUAACUUGACAGUUAAGACCUGAGACCUGAAAUUUAUGACUUGAGACUUGAGAAUGUAGACUAGAGACAUGAAACCUGAGAUCUGAGACCUAAGACUUGAGACUUUAGACAUGACCCAGACAACCAUUUGGUGGGUAUUUCGAAUUUGCAACGCAAAUAUACGUGCAAAUAUACGUGUAAACAUAUCGUAUAUAAUGUAGCAAAACCAGUAUAUACGUAUCAUUUUGGAGGCCAUAUAGGUACAUUAGCAAACAUAUUCUUGAUUUGGAUUGUAUUAAAUUACGAUUUGCACGACUUGUCAUGCGCAUCAUUUACGACUACCCUGAUUCUUUUUGGAAUAUACUAUGACAAUUUACAUCAUCAUAUAGAUGAUUGAGGUUGUAAUAUACGACAUUUUUCGUAACAAUAUGGAAAGUUUGACGACUUAUUUGAUCGUCUUUUGCGACUCUCAUUUUCCGUCAGUUGAAAAAAAAAAUUUUGUUUUUUGGGAUUUUAAACCAAUUGGUUUAUCCAUCCCCAAAAAAUAAUAAAAAUAAGAUUAUUCCAAAGAAAUGUGUUUUUUGCUGUCAAAUUCAAGUUUAUAUCGUACACAUUUAUUAUUUGCCUGAUUGCUGAUUUUUUUCCACGUUCAUGAAUUUAUUGUUAGCACCUGGACUUGAUCCCCUGACGAUUCGAUCAGCAGCUGCAAUGCUUUUAAAUACGAUAAAGAAUAUGCAUGGACCGCACAUUGUAGGUGCAGAUAUACGAAAAUGAGUAUAAAUAACAUUCUAUACGAUGUAAUCUGUAAAAGAAAAUACGACUUCUGGUUGUCUGGGGACACCUGAGACCUGAGAUUUGUUGAAAUGUUAGUUAUCUGGCGUUUUCUGAACAUUAUGAAUUUCAAAGCACUUCGUUCGGUUCUAAAAACGGUCCGGAGCUCAUCCAAAUGAUGAUGACAACUAUAGAGCGCAGGACUGUUCUCGAAACCAAAUGGGAUGACUACACACAAAACUUUCGGAGCUCCACUUAGCAAAAAUUCGCUGUUACUUUCCGUUAGCAAAAAUAUUUUUUUACUUUCGAGUUAGCAAAAAACUAAAUUUACUCAAUUUUAGUAAUAAGAAAGUUAAUCUUGCUUGAUUUUAGUAAAAGUAAGGUUUUCUAGCCGCUUUGUUCAUAGACAGCAGCCGCCGUCAGUUGGGAGAAGAACAACAAAUCGAAUUGAUCAGUGCGGUUCCGAUAAUUCGAUGAUUGCGGUUCGUUUGGUGGCUAGUUCAACGUAAAAAAGGUGGUCAAAUAUACACCGGAUGCGUACAGGUUGCAACUGCCGGUAAACACGACGGUUUUCUUUUUGCAACAGUCUGUAAAUAAAGAGUGACCACAACUGGCAUGUCAACGCGCUGCAUCCGACACAACCCAGGUGCAUUCGUUGAUGAGGGUCGGCCCUUGGCAUUUCGCUCGCCGGAAGGUGCGUUCAGGAACGGAACGAAUUACUUUCAAUUCAACGAAAAGUGGUAAAUGAACUUCCGAAAAAAUGUGAAAAAUAAAUUAAAAGUGAAA
Uranotaenia lowii is the source of this 2122-nucleotide long non-coding RNA. RefSeq lists it as uncharacterized. The record is from RefSeq and is a predicted model, not a curated record. The transcript is spliced from 2 exons. NCBI's taxonomy places the organism in Eukaryota, Metazoa, Arthropoda, Insecta, Diptera, Culicidae.